AGCGGCGAACGGGUGAGUAACACGUGGGUAACCUGCCCUGGAGUGGGGGAUAACCUGGGGAAACUCGGGCUAAUACCGCAUACGACCUCAGCACUGCGGUGCUGAGAGGAAAGCUGGCCAAUUCUUGAAAGCUGGCGCUCCUGGAGGGGCCCGCGCCCGAUUAGCUUGUUGGUGAGGUAACGGCUCACCAAGGCGGUGAUCGGUAGCCGGCCUGAGAGGGCGAUCGGCCACACUGGGACUGAGACACGGCCCAGACUCCUACGGGAGGCAGCAGUGGGGAAUAUUGGACAAUGGGCGCAAGCCUGAUCCAGCAACGCCGCGUGGAGGACGAAGGCCUUCGGGUCGUAAACUCCUGUCAGUUGGGACGAAAAGUCGUCGGUCAAUAGCCGGCGAUCAUGACGGUACCAGCAGAGGAAGCCCCGGCUAACUCCGUGCCAGCAGCCGCGGUAAUACGGAGGGGGCUAGCGU
Molecule: ribosomal RNA, 468 nt
Filed under: uncultured bacterium
Lineage: Bacteria
Description: bacterial SSU rRNA
Rfam family: Bacterial small subunit ribosomal RNA
Source: RNAcentral